CCUACGGGAGGCAGCAGUGGGGGAUAUUGCACAAUGGUGGAAACCCUGAUGCAGCGACGCCGCGUGAGUGAAGAAGUCUUUCGGUAUGUAAAGCUCUAUCAGCAGGGAAGAAAAUGACAGUACCUGACCAAGAAGCCCCGUCUAACUACGUGCCAGCAGCCGCGGUAAUACGUAGGGGGCAAGCGUAAUCCGGAUUUACUGGGGGUAAAGGGGGCGUAGGCGGUGAUGUAAGUCUGGAGGGAAAGCCCGGGGCCCAACCCCGGGACGGCUUUGGAAACUGGGUAACUGGAGUAGGGGAGAGGCAGGCGGAAUUCGUGGUGUAGCGGUGAAAUGCAUAGAUAUCAGGAGGAACACCGACGGCGAAGGCAGCCUACUGGACUGAGACUGACGUUGAGGCUCGAAAGCGUGGGGAGCGAACAGGAUUAGAUACCCCUGUAGUC
This 440-nucleotide ribosomal RNA is filed under the name uncultured bacterium. RNAcentral's name for it is "partial 16S ribosomal RNA". It matches the Rfam family "Bacterial small subunit ribosomal RNA", at positions 338 to 795 of the family's 1533-position model. The record is from RNAcentral.